UACGGGGGGAGCAAGCGUUGUUCGGAUUUACUGGGCGUAAAGGGCGCGUAGGCGGUCGUGACGAGUCACUUGUGAAAUCUCCGGGCUUAACUCGGAACGGUCAAGUGAUACUGUCGGACUAGAGUACAGAAGGGGCAACUGGAAUUCCUGGUGUAGCGGUGAAAUGCGCAGAUAUCAGGAGGAACACCGGUGGCGAAGGCGGGUCUCUGGGCUGACACUGACGCUCAUGCACGAAAGCGUGGGGAGCAAACAGG
Molecule: ribosomal RNA, 254 nt
Filed under: uncultured bacterium
Lineage: Bacteria
Description: partial 16S ribosomal RNA
Rfam family: Bacterial small subunit ribosomal RNA
Source: RNAcentral